This 630-nucleotide ribosomal RNA is filed under the name uncultured Sphingomonas sp. RNAcentral's name for it is "bacterial SSU rRNA". It matches the Rfam family "Bacterial small subunit ribosomal RNA", at positions 85 to 750 of the family's 1533-position model. Lineage: Bacteria; Pseudomonadati; Pseudomonadota; Alphaproteobacteria; Sphingomonadales; Sphingomonadaceae. The record is from RNAcentral.
UUCGGGUUUAGUGGCGCACGGGUGCGUAACGCGUGGGAAUCUGCCCCUUGGUUCGGAAUAACAGUUGGAAACGACUGCUAAUACCGGAUGAUGACGUAAGUCCAAAGAUUUAUCGCCGAGGGAUGAGCCCGCGUAGGAUUAGGUAGUUGGUGUGGUAAAGGCGCACCAAGCCGACGAUCCUUAGCUGGUCUGAGAGGAUGAUCAGCCACACUGGGACUGAGACACGGCCCAGACUCCUACGGGAGGCAGCAGUGGGGAAUAUUGGACAAUGGGCGAAAGCCUGAUCCAGCAAUGCCGCGUGAGUGAUGAAGGCCUUAGGGUUGUAAAGCUCUUUUACCCGGGAUGAUAAUGACAGUACCGGGAGAAUAAGCUCCGGCUAACCCCGUGCCAGCAGCCGCGGUAAUACGGAGGGAGCUAGCGUUAUUCGGAAUUACUGGGCGUAAAGCGCACGUAGGCGGCUUUGUAAGUAAGAGGUGAAAGCCCAGAGCUCAACUCUGGAAUUGCCUUUUAGACUGCAUCGCUUGAAUCAUGGAGAGGUCAGUGGAAUUCCGAGUGUAGAGGUGAAAUUCGUAGAUAUUCGGAAGAACACCAGUGGCGAAGGCGGCUGACUGGACAUGUAUUGACGCUGAG